GAGCCGUUAGCUCAGUCGGUAGAGCAUCUGCCUUUUAAGCAGAGGGUCGCCGGUUCGAAUCCGGCACGGCUCACCA
This 76-nucleotide transfer RNA is filed under the name Betaproteobacteria bacterium. RNAcentral's name for it is "tRNA-Lys". It matches the Rfam family "tRNA". From Rfam's summary of the family: Transfer RNA (tRNA) molecules are approximately 80 nucleotides in length. Their secondary structure includes four short double-helical elements and three loops (D, anti-codon, and T loops). Lineage: Bacteria; Pseudomonadati; Pseudomonadota; Betaproteobacteria. The record is from RNAcentral. RNAcentral also lists the same sequence under 8 other names.